RNAcentral lists this ribosomal RNA (253 nucleotides) under uncultured bacterium. RNAcentral's name for it is "partial 16S ribosomal RNA". It matches the Rfam family "Bacterial small subunit ribosomal RNA", at positions 524 to 776 of the family's 1533-position model. The record is from RNAcentral.
UACGAAGGGGGCUAGCGUUGCUCGGAAUCACUGGGCGUAAAGCGCACGUAGGCGGAUCUUUAAGUCAGGGGUGAAAUCCCAAGGCUCAACCUUGGAACUGCCUUUGAUACUGGGGAUCUCGAGUCCGGAAGAGGUGAGUGGAACUGCGAGUGUAGAGGUGAAAUUCGUAGAUAUUCGCAAGAACACCAGUGGCGAAGGCGGCUCACUGGUCCGGUACUGACGCUGAGGCGCGAAAGCUAGGGGAGCAAACGGG